This 427-nucleotide ribosomal RNA is filed under the name uncultured bacterium. RNAcentral describes it as "partial 16S ribosomal RNA". It matches the Rfam family "Bacterial small subunit ribosomal RNA", at positions 355 to 774 of the family's 1533-position model. The record is from RNAcentral.
UGGGGAAUAUUGCACAAUGGGCGCAAGCCUGAUGCAGCCAUGCCGCGUGUAUGAAGAAGGCCUUCGGGUUGUAAAGUACUUUCAGCGGGGAGGAAGGCGAUAAGGUUAAUAACCUUGUCGAUUGACGUUACCCGCAGAAGAAGCACCGGCUAACUCCGUGCCAGCAGCCGCGGUAAUACGGAGGGAGCAAGCGUUAAUCGGAAGUACUGGGCGUAAAGCGCACGCAGGCGGUCUGUCAAGUCGGAUGUGAAAUCCCCGGGCUCAACCUGGGAACUGCAUUCGAAACUGGCAGGCUAGAGUCUUGUAGAGGGGGGUAGAAUUCCAGGUGUAGCGGUGAAAUGCGUAGAGAUCUGGAGGAAUACCGGUGGCGAAGGCGGCCCCCUGGACAAAGACUGACGCUCAGGUGCGAAAGCGUGGGGAGCAAACA